UCUGAUCUCUUACCCCAG
This 18-nucleotide microRNA is filed under the name Mus musculus (house mouse). RNAcentral's name for it is "mmu-miR-6904-3p". The record is from miRBase by way of RNAcentral. Lineage: Eukaryota; Metazoa; Chordata; Mammalia; Rodentia; Muridae.